GCAAUACGGAAUCCACAGACUAUGCUGGCUCUUGCCAACCACAUCAGGAAGGCAUACAGGCUGAAACAUGAUACACUGAAUAUACCAGGUGAGUUUGGGAGGAAAAGGACGAGAAGGACUGAUGAGCAGCGAGAGAGGCAAGCCCUGUUAGCAAGCAAAAGGGACUGAAUCCAGGAGGGGGAAGAAUAAGCAGAAGGAGGAAGUGUGCAGAAUGAAAUGCUGGAAACACUAGCAGACAGAAGGGACCACAUUAUGAAGAAUCUUUCUUCUUGCACAAGAUGAGGAAUUUUCAGCUAAACCUCUUUUAUAAAAUGAAACAACAAAAAUCAGGCAACAUGACAUCUCUUAGCGGAUCUACUUCUGCUGGUAAAAUCUUUGAGCUACACUGGCAAAAGAAUGAGGCUGUGCUGUAGAGCAGAGAUCAAACUGGACAGAAAUGCCAAGGGCAGGUGGAACCACUCCCUCCCGAAAUGAUGCAUUGACAACACCCCGGAUCCACUUGGUCAAACCCCCUCGGGAAGCUUUAAUAAGCCAAGAAGGGCAAGGUUCGAGAGGAGAUGUUGCUGGCCGCAUCAUUGCAAGCACCUUGUCCAUGUCAUCAGGCCACAUAAACUGAAACUGUUCCUAAGAAGUUGCGGCAGAUGUUGCACUGGGGACGACAGUAGUUGGGGACUACAGUAGAUGUGGAUGGGGCAUCAAGAUUGCUACGGAGGGGCUUACUUCCAGGUAAACGGUGCACACUGGAUCGCAGCCUGAGCAAGUCCCUUCAGUGGCGGCUUCCACCCAGGUAAACGGUGCAUGCCGGAUCACAGCUGCUCCGGGCUGCAAAAGCAGGAUUUGGCUCCAGCAGAUUAUGUCAUGUGAGUUUAUCCUAGCCCUCCACCCAAAAGAAAGGAGGAACUGUAUCUUUCUUUCUUUUAAUUGCAAGGGAGCUGAGUGUGGCCACCAUGCCCACUUGGCAGCAGAGGCUUGGGAGUUUUGUAACCGCCGAAUCGGAAGAGGACUCACAGGCCGUGUGUGACUUUUUUACUGGGAAAAACCGCUUGUGGUACAGUAAAGGUGAACCAAUUUAUUAUGACCUUACAGGACUAAAGUCCACUUAAUCCAAUGCGGCACGUUUUGUCCUGAGUUGGUGGUGUAAAUAGCACUCGGGGAGGGGGUGUUGUAAAACCGAGGGAAGUGAAAGGCACACAAGUCCUAUGGACUGCCACAAUUUUGGUAUUAACAGCGGCCACUUCCAGGCCGUUGCUGUUUUGCAAGUGGAGCUCAUUUGCAUGCAGGUAGAUUGAAGAGGUGAGGUUGAAAUGGACUUGGCACCCUUGUGCAACAAGCUCACUUUUAAAGAAAUGGAAUCUUUGCAGUAAGGAAAGUGAGGGGUAAAUGCCCUGGAAGCAAUUGUUUGACAUGGUAUAUAAAUGAAAUAAAUAAAUAAAUGAUGUAGUCUCCAGGCAAACAAUGCUCAGUUAAAUGCGAGGUGUAACUUUGCCAGAAACUUUGUGCAAGCAGAUGAGGAUAAAGGCUCAAUAAACAGGUCUGGAAUGAACCAGUCACAGUGUAGGUGAUAUUGAUAACACAAACAUCCUAGCAUCGGUAAGUUAAUUAACUUACAGUACUGUGAUAAGAAAUCACUAUUCUGAUUCAAACCACAAGUGAUAGCAUUCAUUCCCGCCAUAAAUUGCAAUUCACCGGUUUCAUGUUAUAGCCUUCCACUGAAGUCUUGUUGUUUAAGAAUGGCUACCUUAAGGUUAGUGGCAAAGAGUCCUGGGAGGUUGAACAGUGGAGGCUGGUACAUUUGAGUGAAUGGGGCACUGCCCCACCAUCUUCAGUCUGUCCUCAGCCAGUCCCCAGCUGCCUGUCCUCUUACUUACUAAACUAGCCCAAUGGGUGGACCUGCCUGUCAGCUUCCUCCUCAAUCUCAUUUUUGCCCUUGUUGAAGUAAGCAGGAAAUGCAAUAGGGACAAAACUCGAAUGAGUUGGCUCUGCCUGUCAUUGGCUCUAGCUCCACCCAUCAUUGACUCUAGUUUCCCCACCUUUCCUCCUUCCAUACACACAGCUCAGACUCUGUGCUGUUAGCUACUCUGCCAAUGUCUAUUCUAGGGUAAAUUACAGGGCUGUACUUGAAGUAACCUUUGUGCAUCUACUCUUGUUGCCAUUAUUAUUAUUAUCAUUAUUGUUGUUAUUGCGAUUAGGAUUACAAUAAUAUAUUGUUACAACAGUAUAAAAACACAGUAUUAAAAACAUAAGUACCACUGCAUCAUUUUUCUUAAUUCAUUUUUUGUUUACGUUGUGAUAAUUUCAUUUUAAUUUCGUAGAUCUAUCUAUAAUUUAUUAUUAUUAUUUUAGAUAUCUAUAAUGAAUGCAAGUUGAGAUCGAGAUAAAGACAGAAAAUACAAAAGUGGUGCUCAUAAGAGAAAAAAGGCUGAGAAGAAAAUAGAAAUAGAAAGAGAGAGAAUGUGAGGGGCCCCCAACUAUGCUUUUGCCCCGGGCCCCGCACAUACUAAGGGCGGGCCUGCCCCUGACAAUAUGGAAAAGCUCCACUGGACGGCUACUUGAGGAUGCGAUGGAGGCAGAGAAGUGGGCCUUCUUCACUGCCCUCACCACCGCACAGUAGGCAUGGUUAUGAUGUUUUACUUGUGCCUGAUCAGCCUCACAGCACAUCUUUUGCCAUUUGUGUUCUAGCUGUCAUCCAGCCUGUUUCAUUGCCUUUAGCUCACUGGUGUACUGAGGUGCAAACUGGGCUCCACAAUGCCAGAGAGGGCUCUCAGGGACAACCAUGUCAAGAGCCCUGUCAAGAAUAGCUAACUUUGGUCAAGCUGAAAUGGAUCAACCAGAGAGAAUUCUGGGAGCCUGUGGUUCCCUAGGACUCUCUACUGGGGAAGAUCCAAAGCUCAGUGUCAGACAGUCAAUUUGCAACGUUGCUACGAGGUGCAACUGAUCCUUAGCUGUUAUCCCUUAUCAGCUUCCUGGGAGUAAAAGUCAGGAAGAGGGGGUGUUGUAGAUCAGGACCCCUGGGUGAUGCUGUCUAGCUCCCUUAUCUUCAAAGACUUCAAAGGAGUAGAUCCCGGCAGGGGCGGAAUAUGGCCAUUUGCUUUCCCCCCUCCUUGUUAACCGAUAAGCACCAUAAAAAUGAAGGAUGCUCCUUCAGGCGUGGUUCCCCUAUUUCCAUCUACCUCGACUCACUGAAGUGGGACAGAGAAGCCUUUUGGGAACCAGGCAACUCUGCAGUAAGUAUAGGAUCUUAGCUUAGAUAGACUUUUGUUGUAUUCCUUUGUCUGUAUUGAACCUCUCCCCUGCGUUAUGUCAAUGUACCUCGUGUAACCCAUCUGAGGGUGAUUAGCUUUGGGGAAACAAACCACUG
Rhineura floridana is the source of this 3358-nucleotide long non-coding RNA. RefSeq lists it as uncharacterized. NCBI's taxonomy places the organism in Eukaryota, Metazoa, Chordata, Lepidosauria, Squamata, Rhineuridae. The record is from RefSeq and is a predicted model, not a curated record. The transcript has 5 exons.